Molecule: ribosomal RNA, 492 nt
Filed under: uncultured bacterium
Lineage: Bacteria
Description: partial 16S ribosomal RNA
Rfam family: Bacterial small subunit ribosomal RNA
Source: RNAcentral
AGUGAACGCUGGCGGUAGGCCUAACACAUGCAAGUCGAACGGCAGCACAGUAAGAGCUUGCUCUUACGGGUGGCGAGUGGCGGACGGGUGAGGAAUACAUCGGAAUCUACUUUUUCGUGGGGGAUAACGUAGGGAAACUUACGCUAAUACCGCAUACGACCUACGGGUGAAAGCAGGGGAUCUUCGGACCUUGCGCGAUUGAAUGAGCCGAUGUCGGAUUAGCUAGUUGGCGGGGUAAAGGCCCACCAAGGCGACGAUCCGUAGCUGGUCUGAGAGGAUGAUCGGCCACACUGGAACUGAGACACGGUCCAGACUCCUACGGGAGGCAGCAGUGGGGAAUAUUGGACAAUGGGCGCAAGCCUGAUGCAGCCAUGCCGCGUGGGUGAAGAAGGCCUUCGGGUUGUAAAGCCCUUUUGUUGGGAAAGAAAAGCAGCAGGUUAAUACCCCGCUGUUCUGACGGUACCCAAAGAAUAAGCACCGGCUAACUUCGUG